AUUGAACGCUGGCGGCAGGCCUAACACAUGCAAGUCGAACGGUAACAGGAAGACGCUUGCUUCUUUGCUGACGAGUGGCGGCCGGGUGAGUAAUGUCUGGGAAACUGCCUGAUGGAGGGGGAUAACUACUGGAAACGGUAGCUAAUACCGCAUAACGUCGCAAGACCAAAGAGGGGGACCUUCGGGCCUCUUGCCAUCGGAUGUGCCCAGAUGGGAUUAGCUAGUAGGUGGGGUAACGGCUCACCUAGGCGACGAUCCCUAGCUGGUCUGAGAGGAUGACCAGCCACACUGGAACUGAGACACGGUCCAGACUCCUACGGGAGGCAGCAGUGGGGAAUAUUGCACAAUGGGCGCAAGCCUGAAGCAGCCAUGCCGCGUGUAUGAAGAAGGCCUUCGGGUUGUAAAGUACUUUCAGCGGGGAGGAAGGGAGUAAAGUUAAUACCUUUGCUCAUUGACGUUACCCGCAGAAGAAGCACCGGCUAACUCCGUG
RNAcentral lists this ribosomal RNA (490 nucleotides) under uncultured bacterium. Its description in RNAcentral is "partial 16S ribosomal RNA". It matches the Rfam family "Bacterial small subunit ribosomal RNA", at positions 30 to 507 of the family's 1533-position model. The record is from RNAcentral.